GCGGAAGUGGCGGAAUUGGUAGACGCACCAGAUUUAGGUUCUGGCGCCGUAAGGUGUGAGAGUUCAAGUCUCUCCUUCCGCA
Vibrio sp. EJY3 is the source of this 82-nucleotide non-coding RNA. The record is from Rfam. NCBI's taxonomy places the organism in Bacteria, Pseudomonadati, Pseudomonadota, Gammaproteobacteria, Vibrionales, Vibrionaceae.